This 836-nucleotide ribosomal RNA is filed under the name uncultured Pseudomonadota bacterium. Its description in RNAcentral is "bacterial SSU rRNA". It matches the Rfam family "Bacterial small subunit ribosomal RNA", at positions 8 to 818 of the family's 1533-position model. Lineage: Bacteria; Pseudomonadati; Pseudomonadota. The record is from RNAcentral.
AGAGUUUGAUUAUGGCUCAGAACGAACGCUGGCGGCGUGCUUAAUACAUGCAAGUCGAGCGAGAAAGUCCCCUUCGGGGGGCGAGUAAAGCGGCGAACGGGUGAGUAACACGUGGGCAACCUGCCCUCGGAUUCGGGACAAGCUUCCGAAAGGAGGUCUAAUACCGAAUAUGGUCGUUUGGUGGCAUCGCCGAACGAGCAAAGGUAGCCAAUACUCGUAUGCUAUCGUCCGGGGAUGGGCCCGCGGCCCAUUAGCUUGUUGGUGAGGUAAUGGCUCACCAAGGCGACGAUGGGUAGCCGGCCUGAGAGGGUGAUCGGCCACACUGGGACUGAGAUACGGCCCAGACUCCUACGGGAGGCAGCAGUAGGGAAUAUUGCGCAAUGGGCGAAAGCCUGACGCAGCAACGCCGCGUGAGCGAUGAAGGUCUUCGGAUCGUAAAGCUCUGUCAGAGGGGACGAACCGUCCCGCGUCUAAUGAACGCGGGAUCUGACGGUACCCUCAGAGGAAGCACCGGCCAACUCCGUGCCAGCAGCCGCGGUAAUACGGGGGGUGCAAGCGUUGUUCGGAUUCACUGGGCGUAAAGAGCAUGUAGGCGGGUCGGCCAGUCCCGUGUGUAAUCUCCCGGCUCAACCGGGAAACUGCACGGGAUACUACUGAUCUUGAGUGCGAGAGAGGAUGGCGGAAUUCCUGGUGUAGCGGUGAAAUGCGUAGAUAUCAGGAGGAACACCGGUGGCGAAGGCGGCCAUCUGGCUCGACACUGACGCUGAGAUGCGAAGGCCGGGGGAGCAAACAGGAUUAGAUACCCUGGUAGUCCCGGCAGUAAACGUUGGACACUA